Molecule: long non-coding RNA, 219 nt
Filed under: Lathyrus oleraceus (garden pea)
Lineage: Eukaryota; Viridiplantae; Streptophyta; Magnoliopsida; Fabales; Fabaceae
Description: Pisum sativum (pea) long non-coding RNA (PSAT_LNC001024)
Source: RNAcentral
AGAGGUUAAGAAAAUAUUUUUGUAUUUUUUGAAUAUCGGAAACUAUUUAAAAUGAAUUAAAAAUAACCAGAAAAGAGAAAAUUCACAAAAAACAUCAAAUGACAAAACAAAAAAAUAUUAAAAAUCAUUUUUAGAAACUAGAAAUUAAAAGGAAAAUAAUGCAAUUGGUCCCAUAUUUUUUGGAAUUAAAAUGAGAGAGAUAUGAUUUUUUGAAAUAAA